Molecule: ribosomal RNA, 486 nt
Filed under: uncultured bacterium
Lineage: Bacteria
Description: partial 16S ribosomal RNA
Rfam family: Bacterial small subunit ribosomal RNA
Source: RNAcentral
AUUGAACGCUGGCGGCAUGCCUUACACAUGCAAGUCGAACGGCAGCACGGGUGCUUGCCCCUGGUGGCGAGUGGCGAACGGGUGAGUAAUACAUCGGAACAUGUCCUGUAGUGGGGGAUAGCCCGGCGAAAGCCGGAUUAAUACCGCAUACGAUCUACGGAUGAAAGCGGGGGACCUUCGGGCCUCGCGCUUUAGGGUUGGCCGAUGGCGGAUUAGCUAGUCGGUGGGGUAAGGGCCUACCAAGGCGACGAUCAGUAGCUGGUCUGAGAGGACGACCAGCCACACUGGGACUGAGACACGGCCCAGACUCCUACGGGAGGCAGCAGUGGGGAAUUUUGGACAAUGGGCGAAAGCCUGAUCCAGCAAUGCCGCGUGUGUGAAGAAGGCCUUCGGGUUGUAAAGCACUUUUGUCCGGAAAGAAAUCCUUGGCCCUAAUACGGUCGGGGGAUGACGGUACCGGAAGAAUAAGCACCGGCUAACUACGUG